GGACAAACCAAAACAGCAUGAGCUCACAUUCAGGUUGUUCAUGACAAAUAUCUAGGGGUUUAAAAGUUAGUUGUAAAUCAUACAACUUGUAUAGAACAUCUGCAAAACAAAGAAACAUUUGUCAUGCUUGUAUGAGAAUGUCACAAGAACUCAUACCGAGCAUCUUUUAAACAUUUUAAAUCAAUGUCACUGUCAGCUAUUUUAGAAAGCUCCUUUUUUUCUUUACUUUGCCUUUAAAUCUUUUGUUUGUAAAUGCAAUU
Long non-coding RNA from Hippocampus comes (tiger tail seahorse), 260 nucleotides. RefSeq lists it as uncharacterized. NCBI's taxonomy places the organism in Eukaryota, Metazoa, Chordata, Actinopteri, Syngnathiformes, Syngnathidae. The transcript has 2 exons. The record is from RefSeq and is a predicted model, not a curated record.